Molecule: long non-coding RNA, 959 nt
Filed under: Struthio camelus australis
Lineage: Eukaryota; Metazoa; Chordata; Aves; Struthioniformes; Struthionidae
Description: lncRNA (ENSSCUG00000007805.1)
Source: RNAcentral
AAACUGUUUUCUGUUUGUGGUAGACUGGGCAAGAAGGAACGGGAUUAAUUAUGUUGCUGGAAGAGAGAUUUUGAUGAGAUUUUAAGGCAGUGAAGUGCCUGGGAGUGCGCAGUGCCUCUAGCAUUGCAAAGCUCCAAGGAUGGGCGGAGAAGCGUUGGUAAGAUUCCCAGGGCUUCUCAAGCAUUCUGCUGUGAGUACAGUGACUGUGGUUUUAGCUCCAGUGCGACUCAUGUGCUUGCUCUAGAUGUCUGAGUCCGGUAGAGAGUCAUCUCCAAAUCAUGUCCUGGCUACAGCGGGGUCUCCCUGACAGAGCCAUGAUCUCUGCUGGAGCCAUGUGUGGGCUGCUCUGCUCCCUCCUGCCUGCACUGUCACACGACAGGAAAUUUACUGCUGGAAUGUCACUGAGAUGCAUAAACAUGGCAGCGGGAGCCAACUACCCGCUCCUGCCGCCGAGGCGGCCGCUUCCUGCAGACUGGCCCUAGCUCCGCGAGGGAGGAGGUGGUAUGUCGCUCCAUGCCGCUGCCAACAGAUUUAUGGAGAAGUAUAACCUUGGCUGCUGCUUUUCUUCCUUAGUUUUCUUUUUUUAACCUGACUGCAGUGUGUCCGGACCGAUCUAGGGCUGCGAUUCCCAAUUCAUCUGCUGCAACACGGCUGUCCGACCAAGCGCGUGUUUAAUUAAGGCCCAUCAAAUCCAAUUUAAAUAGGUUGAUCUAAAGGCUGGGUAGUCUAGCCUGCAGACAUGAGGCCCGCAAGCCAUGUGUGGUAGGGAUGACUCUGUAUGUUUUCAGGCUAAAUUAUAACCACAUUACAUGCCACAUAGCUCUUAAACACUCAAACUUGACUUGGUUUCAGUAAGUUGGAACAGAAUGAAUAGACCACAUCUUUGGGGAGUGUGGGCCAGCCAAUGGCUUAAGAAACAAAACAAUAAAGAAAAACAAAACAUGGGCUAAGAGCUCUAA